UAGAUCUCAUUAAGAGUUUCUAUUAUCUCAUCCUUUUACAUCCGCUUCAGGAUUCAUGCUUCUUCACUUGAAUGAUCAUUUCCUACCACUCACAACUUGUUGUUUACCCAUUGGAACCUAAUUCUUGGGAUCUCCAGUCUUUUAGGUUGGGUUACCAUUAUGAGCAAUUCAUAGGCAUUAGUCUCAUCUUCUUUGAUGUAUU
RNAcentral lists this long non-coding RNA (202 nucleotides) under Trifolium pratense (red clover). RNAcentral's name for it is "long non-coding RNA (TPRA_LNC006259)". Lineage: Eukaryota; Viridiplantae; Streptophyta; Magnoliopsida; Fabales; Fabaceae. The record is from RNAcentral.